This 7448-nucleotide long non-coding RNA is filed under the name Gossypium raimondii (Peruvian cotton). Its description in RNAcentral is "long non-coding RNA (GRAI_LNC007872)". The record is from RNAcentral. Lineage: Eukaryota; Viridiplantae; Streptophyta; Magnoliopsida; Malvales; Malvaceae.
UCGGUUAGGUUGUGAACAAGUCCCUCCAGAGCAUGUUUGUCAAUUGUUAGUACAUUAGCCCAAAAGGAGAGAUCAAGUGAAACCAAUUUCGACAGGUGGGAGACUUGGGAUGGGACUUCUCCUGCAAACAAUGUAUUGGAAAGGUUGAGGUAGAAUAGGCUUGUAAACCGACCGAACUCGGAUGGAAUUUUGGAAUGAUUAAAAUCAUUGUAGGCAAGGUUGAAUUUUUGAAGGUGAGGAAGAAGGAAGAGAGUUGUAUUGGAAGGGAAGUUGCCAUAUAGCCAACUGCAGCUCAAGUCAAGGGCAAUAACAUGAGCAUUUAGGUGGUCACAAGUGACUCCAUCCCAUGAGCAGCAAUCUGUACCCUCCUUCCAUGAAUUUGUCUUGGGAUAAGAUUUAUGGCCAGCAAUCUCAUCGCAAUACAAAGCAGCGUGGUCUGUCUGAGUGAUCGAAAAUGAAUUCUUGAACUGGAUUAGAGAAGCAGCUUCGUGGUGAGAGCAGGAGUGAGAUCCUGAAGAAGAAGCAUAAAAAUGGGGAAAGAAGAGGAAUAGGCAGAGAAAGAGAUAGGGGGCCAUGUUAUGGUUGUAGAGGAAGAUGAAGGAUAGGAAUGGCAUUUAUAGGCAACAAAUAAUACCACAACAUUGCUGUUACAGUCUUUUAUUUCUUUUACAUUGAAAAGAUAUGGAUAUUAGAUUUUUAAAAAUUUUGUAUUUUUCACAAUCAUCAACAACCACUUAGUCUUCUUUUUACCAUUAUUUUUCAUUCUUAAAGUUAGAUUUUUUUUUUAGCAAAAUCUUGUAUUUCUUUUGAACUCCUUAAACAACUAAAAAAAUUAAGAUUGACUUAGUCUUCUUCCCUAUAACACUAAAGAAUGUGUAUCUGUUCACUUGCCUGUCAACCAAAGCUAAUUAAUGUGGAGAUUCUUUUCCAAACGAAAGAAUAAAAUUGUGCUCUAUUCACUACGUUUGAGGAAUAAGACUGUUAAAAUUUUAAUCCACCGAUUCCAUAAAAAUGUGUUUAUAUAUUUACAACCUCAUAAUUCAAAUCUAAAAUCUCAUUUGUUAUAAAUUUUGAUAAAUUUAUUUGGGAAUAGCUAGUUUUCAUUCGUUAAUUAUUUCUCUUUUAAUCAAGUAAAAUAUUAAAACUAAAAAGAUAUAAUGAUUUAUUUGGCAUUUUUUAACUUUACAAACAAAAAGUGAUUUUAGCUUUUCUUUUUUUUUUUUUCCGUCUCUUUUAGUCUUUAAACUUGUAUGAUUCGUUAAAUCACCCAAAAAACAUGAUGUAAAAGUUUAAGUACCCAAUUGAGUGGGAAAAAAAUAAGGGUUUAAUUACUUUUUUUGAAGAAGUUUGAGAGUAUUUUUUAUGCAAUUUAAAAGUUUAAGUGCUUAAUUGAGUGUAAAGAAAAAAGAGGAGGGAUUUAAUUUUUUUUUUUUGAAAAAAUUUGAGGGUAUUUUACACCUUAAGCCAAUAAAAAAAACAUGUAUAUCUUCAUACUUUAAAUAAUUUAUUUAUCAUUUAAAUAGUAAUCUGUGAUUUUAUAAUAGAAUAUGCGUUAAAGGAUUCUGGAAAGUAAAGGAUCUGCACGCACACAGACAUGUUGCGAAGAUUGGGUGAAAUACUAGCUGUCAGGUUGUCUUUUUAUGUGUUUUUGACCUCCAAUUAAAUGUAAAAAAAUGUUUUUUUUUUCUGUUGGUAAUGAACAGGAGCCAAAUGUUGAAGUGGCUGGAACUUGUCUUGUAUUGCUUGCCUGCAGAUUUUGGUAUGUUUGAAUGUAUGGAGAUGUGCCAAGUGGAACUAUUUUGGGGCUUAUCACUACCUCUAUGUCACACAACAGAACACAAAAUAAAAUAAUCAAAUCAGAUCUUUGAAUAUUGAAAUACCAAAAGUUAAAAGAGUACAUGCACUAAAAUACAGUAGAAUACAAUGGAAAUAAUUUUUUAUUUUUUUUAGAUUGUAAAUAAGUAUACAUUAUUGUUGUAAAAUAUAGUCGAAAAUACUUUUUUGUUAAAAUUGGAAUAAACACAUUGUGGAUGAAAAUUUUUAAUACAAUACAAAUUGAUCAUUAACAAAUUAAAUGACGAUUUACAUGAGAAAAAUAAAAAUAAAAAAAAGAAACACCGGCGUUGUUUGCCCGAAUGUGUGCCACAACCCAGUGGGUGUUAGUUACGAAAAGGAUUCUAGCUCUUUCUCUUCUUCACCUCCACCUCCAAUUGAUCUUCAUCUUCAUCUCGUUCCUCCGUGCUAGUAUGGAUUAAAUUCUUGCAAUACAGGGGAGAGAAACCUAGUUUUCCCGUAAACUUAUUAUCAAAAAAGUUGAACAAUUUCAAGUUCCAGCAAAUGGAAAGGGGCUUAGCGGUCUUACUCACACUGGACCUAGCACCUAGGUGGUUUGGCUAAUAGUGGGCUAAGAAAUCUUGAAUGGCGAUAUGGGUUGGGGCUUCCGAGGAGUACAAAUAACCUCUGAGUUUUUUUUUUUCAAAUUUGACGAGCAUCUAGAAUAACUAGUGAAUUACAAUUCUAUUGUACCACAAUCGGUGCAUUGGUCUUUGCGGACUUAAUGUGUUUUGCUUGUUGGUUCUAUUAUCACAAAGCGAACCCAAAAUUGGCUUGGUUCCAAGAUGUAGAAUUUAUGUUGAAUCACCAUUUAGCAAGGUUACUGGGGCUUGUUUCCCUUUCUUGGGCAGGGCAUCAAGUACAUGUCUCUUUACCAAUAAACCAAUUUUUAAAUGCUUUAGUAGACUCUAAAGAGAUCUCACUUCCCCAUGAAUUUUUAUUGAAUCAUGAUCUUUUGGCUCAACUUUAUCCUAGUUUUGAUGAGGGAACAACUCCAUUUUUUACCUUGAAUUGGUCAAAAUAUGCAAAAUUUCUUACUUUUCGUGGAUGAUUAAAUCCAAUGAUUGGGGGGUCCAUGGUUGACUGAUAUUGCACACCAUCAUUUAGCUAUUACAAUUCCUUUCCUAAUAGUACGUCACAUGUAUAAGACCAAUUGGGGCAAUGGACAUAGCCUAAAAGAUAUUUUAGAGGCUAUAGAAGUCCAUUCAUAGGCCAAGGACAUAAAGAACUAUAUGAAAUCGUAACAACAACAUGGCAUGCUCAAUGAUCUCUUAAUUUAGUUAUGUUAGGCUCUUUAACCAUUGUUGUAGAUCACCAUACGUAUUCCAUGUCCCCUUAUCCAUAUCUAACUACUGACUACGGUACACAACUAUCAUUGUUCACACAUCACAUGUGGAUUGGUGGAUUUCUGAUAAUGGGUGUUGUAUGGUAAAAAUUAGUUGUAUUCAUUCUUCACAUAGUUGAUCUUUUGUUGUGGAAGUAUUGUAUUUCUGGUAAUCCAUUAAGUAUUCAGUGUUUGAUACAAUAGAUUUGCAUUUUAUUAUUGUAUUUUGUGGAAGGAUCCUUUUUCUAUUUUGUUUUUUGCAUUUCUGAUAAGUUUACAUUUUUCAGUAAUUAAUUUAUGUUGUUUUAGCCAAACUUUGUAGCGUUUCAGUUUUGGUAAAAUUUCAUCCUUGGUCCCUUUAAACUUCUUUUUGCUUUAAUUUGAUUCCUUUCUAGCGUUGCAAAUUACAUAACACUCUUCAAAUGUCUUAUUAAAUUCUCACUUGUACGAGUGCUAUGUUAAUCAAUUUUAAGUUCCAUAUAACACUUACAUGGCCACAAAAUGUGUGUGUGUGUGUAAGUGUCCUCAACCACAAACAAUCCAAAUUUGCUGAGAAACCACCCACUGUAUAUAGGUUUGCCAAUGAGAUGGCAAGCAGACUGCUAGCUAGAAAUUCAUGCAUCUUUGAAUCACCAAUUCAAUUAAUAAGCUUAACUAGAGGAAAUAAGGACUUUACACCACCAAUUAAAGCAACCUAUAUGUACCCUUUUACAGUCUGCAUUGUUCCAUGUUUCCAUUCAUUACAUCAUUCCUUCAACUCUGCUAUAUACUAUUACCGUCUCCAUAUAACCAAACCUUUUACUGCUAACUUCUAAAAGAAUUAUGAAAAUACAACAGAGAUCAUUGAGACAUUUUGUUCUCCUUUCUCCUUUACUGAGCAGUAGCAAAGAUUAUCGAGACUAAAUUGUAAGUCAUGAAAGAAGACAUAAACAACACCACCAUACAAAAUGUCACACUCAAACAAACCAUUACAGAUAGUACGAAAUGCAAUGAAAGACAGAGGAAUUGGUACAAUAAUAAAUACAGACACAUACCAAUGCAACCCUUCACCAAAGGCAAAACGGUCUACAGAACAAGAAAUUAUGAAAAUACAACACUAAUUCUUAAACAUCAUUUGCAGUAAUUAGAUCCUUCUUCGUCUAUCGCUUCGAUUGCCUUUCUUUGACUUUCUUCUUCGCCUCUUCUCUUGUUGGUUUUCAACCAAAUUCACCAACCAUUUCGGCUUACCAGUUUCGAAAACAACAUAUCCCACGGACAUUCCGAACACCACUCCGCAUCCAUAGCCUAUCAACACCACUUUCCAACCAAAAGCAAUGUUUGAUUUUGAGCCAUCUUUUUCAAGCACAUUUGGAGGUGCUGGCUCAAUGAUGUUGCAACCUUUCGAGACCGGAAAUCCACAUAGUCCCUUAUUUCCUUCAUAUGAAUCAUUUCCAAAUGUGUUGAACUGUUUGCCUUGAGGAAUCUGACCAUGGAGUUGAUUUUCAGAAACAUUGAAGGACGAAAGAAAAGGCAGAUCUGCCAAUCUAUUUGGAAUCGUCCCAGACAACCUGUUUGAAGAUAGGUCCAACCAUUCAAGACUUGUCAAAUUCCCUAUUGAGGUGGGGAUACCACCACUAAGGUUAUUAUGAGAAAGGUUGAGCCCUUUCAGUAAGUUAAGCUUCCCAAAAACCUUUGGAAUACCCCCUUCAAACUGAUUGUUUGAUAGAUCAAUGAUCAUCCACAUGGUGAAAAUUUUCACCAAUUCCAUAUAUUGUCCUUUCAUAACAAUUCCAAUGGAAUAGGUAUAGAAGCCACUACCUCUCUGAACAUACACCCCCAUGUACGACAUUGUACUCCCAAUCUUCUCUAGAUCUAUGAUAGCCUUGAAGCUGUUGAUGUAUCUCACUGGUAGGGGUCCAGAAAAAUAAUUACUUGAGAGGUCAAAAAUUUGGAUUUUAGAGAAAAAAGGGCUAGACUUGGAGCUAUUGACACGCAAGGAACCAUGCAUAUGGUUUGACUUCAAUACAAGAACUUGCAAAUAUGGAAGACUUCCCAACCAAUGAGGAAAUGUAUCAUUGAUCUUGUUGUUACCAAGAUCUAGCACUUCUAGACCUCUACAAUUAAGGAUGGAUGGUGUCAAUGGCCCUUCUAACAGAUUUCCAUUUAAGUUGAAAUUAGUCAAUCGGCAUCCCUGUGCAAAAUUUGGAGGAAUCGUCCCAUAGAACUUGUUCUUCUUCAGAUUCAAGAAUUCAAGGCUGUUGCUCAAAUUUCCAAAACAUCGCGGAAUUGUUCCACUCAAGUUAUUGUGGGACAAAUCAAGAACUCGAAGAGAAGUGGCAUUGCAGAUUAAAGAAGAGACCUCUCCAUUCAAACUGUUAUUUGAGAUCAAAAAGAAAUUGAUGGUCGAAGCUGGAAUCGGAAGAUUUCCACUGAUCAAAUUGGAGCUUAAGUCAAGAACUUCAAUAUUCUUCCAUGGAAAGUGCUCAACUUCUGUCAAAGAGUUGUGAGAUACGUUUAAGUAAGUCAAAGAGCCAUUCCCCACCUCUUGCAUCCACUGUGGAAUCUUGCCUUCAAUUUUGUUGCAAGAGAGGUCUAAGCUUUCCAAACUUUUAAGCCCUUUUAAAAAUUGGGGGAAUUCACUAAGAUUGCAAGAUGACAAAAGUAAGUCUGUAACAUUAGGCAAUAUAUGAUUAACACUAGAUGUAGCAUUAGAUGUUAAGGAUAGGCUGUUAUAUGAAAGGUCGAGAUGUUUUAGAUUUGGAACGUUUGAGAACAUGCGAAACUCUAUGACACCACUAAGAUUAUUUGAGGAUAAAAGGAGCCAGGUAAGAUUGAGAAGUUGGAAUAUUGAAGAUGGAAGAGGACCUUGGAGUUUAUUAUUUUCUAGAUCUAAAUAUUCUAGUGAUUUGGUUUGGAAUUCUUUGAUAUGCCCACUGAAUUGAUUUUGAGAGAGAAUUAUACCCUUUAAGGAGGGAGCAGUAUACAACCAUGACGGAAGUGUUCCAUUGAGUACAUUGUCAAAUAAGACUAAAUAUAUUAGAUUCGGAACAGCGGUUACCUCAUCUGGAAGAGAACCUUCUAAAGAAUUUUCAGAUAUUUCCAAGUAUUCCAACUGCGUUAGGUUUAGAAUUGACAAUGGAAUUUGUCCACUCAAUUUAUUUGAUCCCAAGUCUAAAUGAGUGAGUUGCAAGAGGUUUCCAAGUGAUUUUGGAACCGGUCCUGAUAAGUUGGAAUAGGAGAGAUCUAAAAACUUCAAGGACACAAGAUUCCCCAUCGAGUCAGGCAAUCCUCCAAAAAAAUUUGCGCCUCUAAGAAUCAAGUACUCCAAAGAUGAUAAAUUUGUGAUUGAGACAGACAAUCCUUGAAAGAAAGAAUUUCCUGAUAGAUCGAAGUACUUUAAGGCCUGUAGAUUAUCAACCGAAUCAAUGAAUUCUGUAGAGAAGGACAUCCACGACAGAUCCAAAUGUUCGAGAUUGCUGCUCCGAUUCAACUUCAAAGGAUCAAGAUUGAGGUUUUGGUUGCCUCCCAAGUUGAGGAGAUUGAGGUUUGGCAAAUCAAAAAUGUUUUUUGGGAAUUUUCCUUGCAAAUCACAACCAGCAAGACUGAGAGACCUUAGAGAAGAGGAUAGAUUCAUGAAGACAUGAGCAUUAACAGAAGUCAUGUUGAUUCCAUCCAAAAACAGAUGUCUGACCUCGGUUAGGUUGUGAACAAGUCCCUCCAGAGCAUGUUUGUCAAUUGUUAGUACAUUAGCCCAAAAGGAGAGAUCAAGUGAAACCAAUUUUGACAGGUGGGAGACUUGGGAUGGGACUUCUCCUGCAAACCCUGUAUAAGAAAGGUUGAGGUAGAAUAGGCUUGUAAACCGACCGAACUCGGAUGGAAUUUUGGAAAGAUUAAAAUCAUUGUAGGCAAGGUUGAGUUUUUGAAGGUGAGGAAGAAGGAAGAGAGUGGUAUUGGAAGGGAAGUUGCCAUAUAGCCAACUGCAGCUCAAGUCAAGGGCAAUAACAUGAGCAUUUAGGUGGUCACAAGUGACCCCAUCCCAUGAGCAGCAAUCUGUACCCUCCUUCCAUGAAUUUGUCUUGGGAUAAGAUUUAAGGCCAGCAUAAUCAUUGCAAUAAGAAGAAACAUCCUCUGUUAUGGAAAAAGAGUCCUUAAACUGGAUUAGGGAAGAGCAGGAGUGAGAUCCUGAAGAAGAAAAAGAAGCAUAAAGAUGGGGAAAGAAGAGGAAUAGGCAGAGAAAGAGAUAGGGGGCCAUGUUAUGUUUGUAGAGGAAGAAGAAGGAUAGGAAUGGUAUUUGUAGGCAACAAAUAGUACC